RNAcentral lists this ribosomal RNA (407 nucleotides) under uncultured bacterium. Its description in RNAcentral is "partial 16S ribosomal RNA". It matches the Rfam family "Bacterial small subunit ribosomal RNA", at positions 28 to 526 of the family's 1533-position model. The record is from RNAcentral.
GACGAACGCUGGCGGCGUGCCUAAUACAUGCAAGUAGAACGCAGUUGCGAACGGGUGAGUAACGCGUAGGUAACUGCCUGGUAGCGGGCGCUAACUAUUGGAAACGAUCGCUAAUACCGCAUACCACUAGAUGGUCCUGCGUUGUAUUAGCUAUUUGGUGGGGUAACGGCUUACCAAGGCGACGGUACAUAGCCGACCUGAGAGGGUGAUCGGCCACACUGGGACUGAGACACGGCCCAGACUCCUACGGGAGGCAGCAGUAGGGAAUCUUCGGCAAUGGACGGAAGUCUGACCGAGCAACGCCGCGUGAGUGAAGAAGGUUUUCGGAUCGUAAAGCUCUGUUGUAAGAGAAGCGGUAUCUUACCAGAAAGGGACGGCUAACUACGUGCCAGCAGCCGCGGUAAUUC